GGGGGGGGGGGGGGGGGGGGGGGGGGGGGGGAGGGCGGGCGGGAGCAGAGGAAGAGGGGGCGCGGAAGGGUGGGGGGGGGCGGAGGGGGGCGGAGGGCAGAGGAGUGUGCUUGUGCGGGGGGGAGCACGAGGGGAAAGGGACUGUAAGACAGCAUAGUGCGUACGGGUGGAAGCAGGGGAGAUUCGGCCGUAUAGGGAAGGUAUGGGAAGAGGUCGGAUUAGCUGGGGGGGGGGGUGAAGGCGCAGCAAGGCGGAGAUGCGUAGCUGGGCUGAGAGGAUGAUCCGCCACACUGGAACUGCGACACGGUCCCGACUCCUACGGGAGGCACCAGUGGGGAAUAUUGGACAAUGGGCGCAAGCCUGAUCCAGCCAUACCGCGUGGGAGAAGAAGGCCCUCGGGUUCUAAAGCCCUUUUGUUGGGAAAGAAAAGCAGCAGGUUCAUACCCCGCUGUUCUGACGGUACCCAAAGAAUAAGCACCGGCUAACUUCGUG
RNAcentral lists this ribosomal RNA (492 nucleotides) under uncultured bacterium. Its description in RNAcentral is "partial 16S ribosomal RNA". The stretch from base 62 to 492 matches the Rfam family "Bacterial small subunit ribosomal RNA", at positions 39 to 507 of the family's 1533-position model. The record is from RNAcentral.